UGGUACCAAGGAUUGAACUCAGGGACACUUGACCACUGAGUCACAUUCCCAGCCCUUUUUUGUAUUUUAUUUAGAGACAGGGCCUUGCUAAGUUGCUGAGGCUGUCUUUGAAUUUGUGAUCCUCCUGCUUCAGUCUCCUGAACCUCUGGAGUUACAGGCAUGUGCCAUACUGCUCCUGGCUUGCCUUGCUUUUAAAAUCAGAGUAAUUCAGGUUUGGGUUUUACCGUAUCCAAAGAUAAGCCUAAUCUCAUCUAGUAGAUAACUAGAUGGAUGGAAAAAGCUAAAAUGUAGGAAUAAAAGAAGGUAUCUCUCUCUCCAGUGUCCUCAAGUCCAGGCAACAAGUCUGUGCUGUUAGAGGCAGUUCGGUUGCAGUCUUUUCCCCUUAGGAUGUUAUGAAUGAUUCAUAUUCUGUUGAUAGAGAUAGUAGGGCAAGCUAGUGGGGCCAGUGCUUUGGUGAAGCGUAUCUAAAAGUAGGGCCAGCUCUUUCAAUAUUUUUUUGGAGGGUGGGUACUGGGGAUUGAAGUCAGGGGCACUUUGCCACUGAGACACAUCCCCAGCCCUAAUUUGUAUUUUAUUUAGAGACAGGGUCUCACUGAGUUGCUUAGCAUCUUGCUUUUUUUGCUGAGGCUGGCUUUAAUUCACAAUCCUCGUCUCAGCCUCCCAAGGCACUGGGAUUACAGGCAUGCGCCAUCAUACCGGGCCCUUUCAGUAUUUUUUAAACCUAAGGUUUAAGGUGAAGGGAAGCUAUGAAAUGAUUGGGAACUGACAGCAAUGAAUAAACCAGUGGUUUCUCUCAGCCAAACUGAGGACCAAAUUGUUUUCUGAUCUUUGACUCCUCCUUUGGCAUGUAACAGGGAGAAGAGGAAUUGACAGGUAUUAAAUAGUGCCCAUUAUCUACACUACAUGUGACCCAGAUGUUGGCCUUCCUCCUUUCUGCUAAGGUUACCUCUGCUGCACUUUGUCUCAGGCCUCUUGCUAAGUUCAUUCCCUACAGCAACUUCAUUUACCAGGAAUUCCUAGAACUCUGGGCCUCUGAUGGACAGGCAGCAAGCACUUCACUUUACUGUCCCAUCCUAUCACCAUACCAUCCCCGUACAAACUGUCAUGCUUGGAGGUCUGGAAAGAUGAAAGGGGUUUAUGUUAAAGUGACAAGUUGGAAUCUAGUGAUAGACUCUUAGGUACCCCACGCCAUCCCCUGGGUGUUCUCAUGAACCCCUUUCCCCACAUGGCUCUCCCUACAUGCAGCCCUCCUCAUUCCUCAUCAUCAUUUGUGCAUUUUCUCUCCUAACACCUCACCUAUAGGUGUUAUCUUUUUAGCCACCUUAUAUUUUAAAUGCAUAAGAAAAAUUAUGGAGCAUUAUAUAAGAGUGAAUCUAAAUGGACAUUUUGGAAAAAAUAAAAAACUUGCCUCAAUAAUUUGUGCUGAAAUUUCGAUUGUGUCAGACUGCUUCCAUUCUGUUUUACUUUGUAAACUACAUUGUGUAACUUGUGUUGAGGCAAUAUUUACUAAGCACCCACAAUGUGCAAUACUAGGAGGGGAAGCUCCAUGAGGGCAGCUUCUCUCCUGCAUAGCCACAUGCCUAGAACAGCACGUGAGGCACAGAUAUUUAAUAAGUAUUUGCUGAAUGCAAGAAUGGAUGAGAAGGAAAAGUGC
This 1654-nucleotide long non-coding RNA is filed under the name Marmota monax (woodchuck). Lineage: Eukaryota; Metazoa; Chordata; Mammalia; Rodentia; Sciuridae. The record is from RNAcentral.